Molecule: long non-coding RNA, 406 nt
Organism: Labrus mixtus (cuckoo wrasse)
Lineage: Eukaryota; Metazoa; Chordata; Actinopteri; Labriformes; Labridae
Exons: 2
Source: RefSeq, a predicted model, not a curated record
CUUGAGUCCUGACACUGCGUUUUUAUUUGGAAACUUUAUUUUCUCUAACCAAUCAAGAGGGGAUUGUCCCGGAGGCGCGUGCGUAAAGGUCUGGAUGGAGUCCGGUACGGGACGGCUCUCUUCACCCCCCGUGCAGGUCUAGAUGGAGUCCGGUACGUGACGGCUCUCUUCACCCCCCGUGCAGGUCUAGAUGGAGUCCGGUACGGGACGGCUCUCUUCACCCCCCGUGCAGGUCUGGAUGGAGUCCGGUACGGGACGGCUCUCUUCACCCCCCGUGCAGGUCUAGAUGGAGUCCGGUACGGGACGGCUCUCUUCACCCCCCGUGCAGGUCUAGAUGGAGUCCGGUACGGGACGGCUCUCUUCACCCCCCGUGCAGGUCUAGAUGGAGUCCGGUACGGGACGGCUC